This 83-nucleotide transfer RNA is filed under the name Mycobacteriales bacterium. RNAcentral's name for it is "tRNA-Tyr". It matches the Rfam family "tRNA". Rfam says of the family: Transfer RNA (tRNA) molecules are approximately 80 nucleotides in length. Lineage: Bacteria; Bacillati; Actinomycetota; Actinomycetes; Mycobacteriales. RNAcentral also lists the same sequence under 1 other name. The record is from RNAcentral.
GCCAGAUUGCCCGAGCGGCCAAAGGGAGCGGACUGUAAAUCCGCCGGCAUUCGCCUUCCAAGGUUCGAAUCCUUGAUCUGGCA